This 1113-nucleotide long non-coding RNA is filed under the name Oryza sativa aromatic subgroup. Its description in RNAcentral is "lncRNA OsARC_09g0003460". The record is from RNAcentral. Lineage: Eukaryota; Viridiplantae; Streptophyta; Magnoliopsida; Poales; Poaceae.
AUGGCGACCCCCCGGGCGGCGAGGACGGCGAAUCAGCCGGGCAGUGAGGAUGGCGACCCCCCGGGCAGCCAUUGGCGCCGGUGGGCUCCCCUGGACGGCCAGCGCCGGCGUCACGGGAAGCCAGCCCGUCGCGGCAUGGGAGGGCAGCGCCGGUGGGACGGGAAGCCAUCGCCGGCGGCACGGCGAGGCCGGCGGCACGGGAGGGCAGCGCCGGCGUCACGGGAGGCCAGCGCCCGGGCGGCCCCCAUGGCCGGCAGCAUGGAUGGCGACCCCUCGAGUAACGAGGACGGAGAAUCAGCCGAGCGGCGAAGAUGGCGACCGCCCGAGCAGCCAUUGGCGCCGGCGGGCUCCCCCGGACGGCCAACGCCGGCGGCACGGGAAGCCAGCCCAUCGCGGCUUGGGCGGGCAGCGCCGGCGGCACGGGAGGCCAUCCCUAGGCCUGCUGCUCCGGUAGCACGGGAGGCCAGCGCCCUGCCAGCCCGGGCGGCCAGCCCCAGGCCUGCUUGGCCGGCUAAUCCCAGGCAGGCGCAGGACAGGCAGCUCACGGCCACGGCGGCACAGGCAGGCAGCUCCCAGGCAGGCACGGGCAGCAACCCCCUGGAUGGCGUGGGCAGACAGCUCGGCAUGGCGAUGAACUCAACAACUGAGUUAUUAGACUCUAAUUUUUUGUUAAAGAUAAAUUUGAUUGGCAAUCGCACAAAGAUAAGAAAGGAUGUUAAAUGUUGGAACUUUGAGAUGAUUGUUGAUUCGGACAGGACAUGCUUUAUGGAUUUUGUUCAAUCAGUUGUUGACAAGUAUCCCCCAAGGUACUUGGAGGUUGCACAUUACUAUGAUGAUGUCCUCAAAACUUUUCCAGAGGUUAACUCAGACCAAGAGUUGCUAGUUAUGUUUGAUCUACACAAUAAGAAGAAGGUUGUAGAAAUGUUCAUUGUUUAUGCCAAUCCGUCUGAGCCAUUCAAGCCUAUCACUGAGUGGGAAUUUGAAGAGGAAGAGCAACCCGACAACAACACAGAACCCGAUGGUGACAACUAUCUUAGUAAUCCUAAUCCAUUGAAUGAGCAUGUUGGAAUUGAUGAUGAGAAUAUGUACUUGGAGAGUGUCCCUAUAAAUCAA